Molecule: ribosomal RNA, 253 nt
Filed under: uncultured bacterium
Lineage: Bacteria
Description: partial 16S ribosomal RNA
Rfam family: Bacterial small subunit ribosomal RNA
Source: RNAcentral
UACGAAGGGGGCUAGCGUUGUUCGGAAUUACUGGGCGUAAAGGGCGCGUAGGCGGUGUGUCAAGUCAGGCGUGAAAGCCCCGGGCUCAACCUGGGAACCGCGCUUGAGACUGGCACGCUAGAGUUCGGGAGAGGAUGGUGGAAUUCCCAGUGUAGAGGUGAAAUUCGUAGAUAUUGGGAAGAACACCGGUGGCGAAGGCGGCGACCUGGUCCAUUACUGACGCUGAGGCGCGACAGCGUGGGGAGCAAACAGG